UGGUUAUUAUUCUGCACUGCAUUUGUGAACAGCACGGCACAACAUUCACGUCUUAAGUGUUCAUAUUAUGGUCCUGAUUAUUGUUUUUCUUUAAUCUUACACUUGGAAACAAUCUGCAGGAACCUGUAUUGCUUCAGCCAUCAAUCUGGGAAACUUGAGCACUUGAUGAAGAUGAUGAUGCUGUUGGAUGUUUAGACAAGAGGAUAAGAUCUUCUGUGGCUAGGCUCAAUGCUGUUACAUCUGCUAGUGUGGGCUAUCAGGUCAUGUUUUUGUUUCUUCACGCAAAUUACAAUACACAUAUAUAUUGAUGUCUUGGGGUAAUAAGAGACCAUGACUAGUCAUUUUGUGUGGCAUCCUUCUAAAAAGUUAUUCUAGUAGUCUUUUUGAGGUAAAAGUUAUUCUAGUAGUCUUUUUGAGGUUUAGAAAUGAGGACUGUACGUUCAGAAAAUGUGUAGACUGUAACUUCAGGCAUUCGAUCUUUUCAUUGUUAUUUUUGGUAGAACACUUGUUUAUUUGGGCAGAGGAUAUGGUUGGAAGUAAGAACGUUUACCAAAAUUCUUGUAUUAUGUAGGAAGUCAUACUUGUAGAGCUUGAGGGAGACAGAGAUUACCACAUGCCUGUUGAACUUGGAGGUAGUGGUGGAAUGGUAUGCUUAAAAUAUAUUUCCGUGUCUCUGUGUUAUGCAUUAUGUUUCGCUAGCCAAUUAUUUUAUUUAUCAAGUUAUUAAUUUUGUAAGGUUUAUUUCAACUAAUUUACAUGUUGAAGUUGAGAAAAACUAGUUGCUGGAAAUGCGCAAAAGGAUUGAAGAUCAUUAUAGAAAAAAAGUCGAGCUUGAAACUAUGCGAAAAGAGUUUGCCAGCAAGCGACACAACUUGGAAGCUAUGGUGCGGAAGGUUAUGAAACAAUAGUUGGAGAUCGAGAUGAGUAGAAUGUUUUCACUUUUUUAUUAUUGUAAUUGACUGUAGAGUUAUUUAAGUUUCGACAAACAUGUUGAAGUACACACUUUGACUAUUAAUGAUAUCUUUGUUAUUAUUGUUU
Long non-coding RNA from Helianthus annuus (common sunflower), 1038 nucleotides. RefSeq lists it as uncharacterized. Lineage: Eukaryota; Viridiplantae; Streptophyta; Magnoliopsida; Asterales; Asteraceae. The record is from RefSeq and is a predicted model, not a curated record. The transcript has 2 exons.